This 301-nucleotide ribosomal RNA is filed under the name uncultured bacterium. RNAcentral's name for it is "partial 16S ribosomal RNA". It matches the Rfam family "Bacterial small subunit ribosomal RNA", at positions 509 to 809 of the family's 1533-position model. The record is from RNAcentral.
CAGUAGCCGCGGUAAAACGAAGGGUGCAAGCGUUAAUCGGAAUUACUGGGCGUAAAGCGUGCGCAGGCGGUUUGUUAAGACAGAUGUGAAAUCCCAGGGCUCAACCUGGGAACUGCAUUUGUGACUGGCAAGCUAGAGUGUGGCAGAGGGGGGUGGAAUUCCGCGUGUAGCAGUGAAAUGCGUAGAUAUGCGGAGGAACACCGAUGGCGAGGGCAGCCCCCUGGGCCAACACUGACGCUCAUGCACGAAAGCGUGGGGAGCAAACAGGAUUAGAUACCCCCGUAGUCCCUGUCUCUUAUAU